GGAUGAUUGGUUUAUAGCAAUCCGUCAAAGAAAAUUCUUUGUGUCACUUUUCGGUUAUCAACAACAAAAUCAACAAGGUUCUAACACUGACUUAUUAAUUGCUCAUUGAUGAUGAUUUUUCUACAGCAACAUCUGACACAAAAUCAACAAUUCUCAUUAAUAGCCUUCGAGGUUGUAGAUUCAGUGUUAGAUGCCCAUAUAGAAAAAUUUAUCGUCGGUGAGAAUUUGAUUAGUCAGCAACAAAACCUUAUUGAUGAUGUUGUUGAACAUGGAGACAUCUCAAAUAGGUAAAUUGGUGUUGGAAGACAGCGAAAAAAUUGACACUUCACCCAGAUUCAAUCAUCACGUCAACUUACCAUUUUUUUAUUAAAAUGAACUUGGAUGGAUGUCUACUUUCUUGAUAAAACCUUUUUCCAUAUCCGAGAUAGUGAAAUAGAAUAUUUAAAACUUUUGAAUAAGUAAGAUGGAUGGAUCUAAAAACACUUUCGACCAAAUUGAAACAUUCUUGAAUUGAUGGAAGGAAUGUUUCUAACGGGUGCAUUGGUACUUCCACACACCAUAUUUCACACAAUGUUGGCUUUUUAUUACUUUUCAUGUCUAUCUCUUAAAAAUGGGCGCCCACACACAUUUCUUUUCUUUUCUUCUAUUAUUAUUUUUUUUUCUACUAAGUUGAAGCACGGCUGAGGAGGUGGUUUCGACAUGCUCGCUUAUUUGUCAUUAAACUCAUACUGAAGGGCAAUUUUGACUUUUUGUGAUAUCUGCCAUGUGUCUUCACAUCCAAACCUCAACAGCCAGCACAUCAGUUGUUUCAGGACAUAUGUCAAUAACUUUUCUGAAUGGAAGGCUACGAACUGUACUGAUAAUCCCAAGAUAUGGCUUUCUUAAGCAAGUUCUUGGUUUCAUAUUAGAUCUGGGGUUCACAAUUAUGCAUUGAAGAAACAAUCGGUGUUAAUUUAUGCAUGUACUGAUAUAACUAGAGUUUUCCUGUUUGUGUGGUGGUUGGUUGAUCUAAAAAGAUUGCAUUAAUAUGAGGUUCUUGCUAUAAUGGAAAUUUGUCUGAUCAACAAGAUUAAGGUUGACAACAGAUUUCAUAUUGGGUAUAACAAAAGUGGUGAAACCUGAAGGUGAUGAUGGAUAAAGCUUACAAAGAGCAUGGUGAACAGAAUGAAUAUUGUGGAAAAAAUGCAUAGGUUAGAAUUUCGGGAGAGAGGUGGGGACAAGAAUGAAUGCCAGUACAGAUGGGUGCAACAAUGAAUGCUACAUAAGGAGAGGAGAUAUUGUUUAUAGUUGAUGCAUCUGAUUAUUCCUACAUUAGCAUAGUAGAGAGUUGAGAUUGGUUUAACUAUCUGCAUAAUUACUUAAUGUAAUCUCCUUUAUAUGUGCAAAUGGAAGUUGAGAGUUUUUAAUGUUAAGGGUGCUUGUUAUUGGCCCUAUUAGAAGCUAAUCAACUGAUGAGAAAGUAGAUUUACUGGAGGUAUGCCAUAGCGCAAUUGGUUUCCCGUUUAUGUUUUUGUUUUCUACUUAAAAAAGGAGAUCAUGUUUGUUUGGA
Long non-coding RNA from Capsicum annuum, 1549 nucleotides. RefSeq lists it as uncharacterized. The transcript is spliced from 2 exons. Lineage: Eukaryota; Viridiplantae; Streptophyta; Magnoliopsida; Solanales; Solanaceae. The record is from RefSeq and is a predicted model, not a curated record.